ACCAAAGGAUAAUAGUAU
This 18-nucleotide transfer RNA is filed under the name Micrurus bocourti. RNAcentral's name for it is "partial tRNA-Leu". The record is from RNAcentral. Lineage: Eukaryota; Metazoa; Chordata; Lepidosauria; Squamata; Elapidae.